CGGACGGGUGAGUAACGCGUGGAAAACCUGCCGUAUACUGGGGGAUAACACUUAGAAAUAGGUGCUAAUACCGCAUAAGCGCACAGCUUCGCAUGAAGCGGUGUGAAAAACUCUGGUGGUAUACGAUGGUUCCGCGUCUGAUUAGCUAGUUGGUGGGGGUAAUGGCCUACCAAGGCAACGAUCAGUAGCCGGCCUGAGAGGGUGAACGGCCACAUUGGGACUGAGACACGGCCCAAACUCCUACGGAAGGCAGCAG
Molecule: ribosomal RNA, 256 nt
Filed under: uncultured bacterium
Lineage: Bacteria
Description: partial 16S ribosomal RNA
Rfam family: Bacterial small subunit ribosomal RNA
Source: RNAcentral